This is a non-coding RNA of Acanthosepion pharaonis, 113 nucleotides long. Lineage: Eukaryota; Metazoa; Mollusca; Cephalopoda; Sepiida; Sepiidae. The record is from the annotation of a GenBank genome assembly.
UUACGGCCAUAUCAUGUUGAAACACCGAUCCGGUACAAUCACUGAAGUUAAGCAACGUUGAGCCUGGUCAGUAAGUAGAUGGGUGACCGCCUGGGAAUAUCACGUGCUGUAAG